RNAcentral lists this non-coding RNA (524 nucleotides) under Pongo abelii (Sumatran orangutan). Lineage: Eukaryota; Metazoa; Chordata; Mammalia; Primates; Hominidae. The record is from RNAcentral.
GAUGCGCGCCAGUCAACCAGGCGAAGGCCAGGGGACCUCGAGACCGGCAGCCCGGACGAUGAACCGGAAGGAGGAAAAGGAACGGGAGGGAGAAAGAUGAGAUGUGCCUACUUCUCCCUGGAGACGCUCGAGGAAGCAGGAAUGCUGGAGAUGAGGGCUGUUUUGGACUCAGUAUUCACCUAAGCACUCCAAAUUGGUCGCGUGAACAUGUGGUAUAGCAGGAGGAGAGAGACCCAGCACACCCUUCCUGCACGGCGCUGUGCUGCACCUUCACUCUGGUCACGGGUCUGGCAGUCGGCUCACCAAUUCCUUCUGCUUUCCUGGGACUCGCCGGCUUUUAGCACUGCAAUUCACUCAGCAAACUGGGACUGUUGGUCACCCUACCUGGCAGCCAGUGAUAAGGGCUUGUGUCAUUGGCAUGACAGACCUGCCUUGGCUGAGCAUUCACCUGUCUUUGGAGUUCAGCCACCUUAGCAAGUCCGGGGUUUGUUCUUCAGACUUUGCUGCUCGCCCAUUGCCUGGAU